RNAcentral lists this long non-coding RNA (727 nucleotides) under Homo sapiens (human). RNAcentral describes it as "long intergenic non-protein coding RNA 1350". The record is from RNAcentral. Lineage: Eukaryota; Metazoa; Chordata; Mammalia; Primates; Hominidae.
AGGCAAGGCCAAGGCUUCUUGAAAGGCUGGUCAUGCCCCAGUGAUCAAUGAAGAACUCAGGGAUAUCCCAAAACUCAGGACUAUAAGGCACAAUGGGGGAGCAGGUACCAGGUGGCCAGCAUCCUAAAUGACUCUCAGCAGCUGCAGAGAAGACCAUAAUGGAUGGAUAUAUAGGCUGACGUAUAUCAGUUGGCUUCAGUUGUUUGGUGAUAUUCACCAGAUCUAUAUUUUGCUAUUUUAUGGAUAUUAUUUUCAAUUUCUGAGUGUAAAUAACAAGAGCUGCCUAUAAAUCUACCUCAGAAGACAAAGGGAAAAGCAAAACUCUGCCCAGGAAGACCUUACUUUACAAACCAGGUGACCAAAUUUCUAAAACAUCAUUCCCGUAAUCCCUGAUCAACAGAAAGGAAGCUCUGGAAGCAUGAAUGCUCAACCAUAUUUACCAGCCUUCCUGUGGUCAUUUGUCUGAGCUCCAGCUAGUGAAGUAUGAGUAGAACGGACAUGCACCACUUCCAGACCUGGCACCGGCAAACCCCCCAUGGCAACCCUCCAACCCUUUCCUCAACAACUGGACCACGCUGGAAAGGACUGAGGAUCUAGAGGAGGACAGGGCUGUAAUAUGGAAGGAGUUUGGUUUCUGAAGGACCAUGUAGCAGGCCACCUGCAGGGCGGGAACAUCUUUAAUAGGUUUGGAAUAGCAAGAAAUAAACUGGUCUUGUAUUAAACAACU